Molecule: long non-coding RNA, 233 nt
Organism: Mesocricetus auratus (golden hamster)
Lineage: Eukaryota; Metazoa; Chordata; Mammalia; Rodentia; Cricetidae
Exons: 2
Source: RefSeq, a predicted model, not a curated record
CAGGCCAGGCCGUCCCGGCGCCCCACCCGCGGCCCGCCCCUGCCGCCGGACGGGAGGGAGGGACCGGCUUCUCCCAAGGAAGUUUCAGGAAUGCUGUAGCCCACAGUGCCAAACAGCUUGGUAAGUAGACUGUUCUCUGGUUCCUGUGCUCAUCAGCUUCUCCACUGACCUGGCAGAAAAGGCUGAGCAGUUGUAUGGAAAGCCCUGUGGAAUAAAAGUUGACUGAGCAAGAA